Molecule: ribosomal RNA, 657 nt
Filed under: uncultured bacterium
Lineage: Bacteria
Description: bacterial SSU rRNA
Rfam family: Bacterial small subunit ribosomal RNA
Source: RNAcentral
GAGCGCCGUAGCAAUACGGAGCGGCAGACGGGAGAGUAACACGUGGGAACGUGCCCUUUGGUCCGGAACAACCCAGGGAAACUUGGGCUAAUACCGGAUAAGUCCGUAAGGAGAAAGAUUUAUCGCUGAAGGAUCGGCCCGCGUCUGAUUAGCUAGUUGGUGAGGUAACGGCUCACCAAGGCUACGAUCAGUAGCUGGUCUGAGAGGAUGAUCAGCCUCACUGGGACUGAGACACGGCCCAGACUCCUACGGGAGGCAGCAGUGGGGAAUAUUGGACAAUGGGCGCAAGCCUGAUCCAGCCAUGCCGCGUGGAUGAUGAAGGCCUUAGGGUUGUAAAAUCCUUUCGGCGGGGAAGAUAAUGACGGUACCCGCAGAAGAAGCCCCGGCUAACUUCGUGCCAGCAGCCGCGGUAAUACGAAGGGGGCUAGCGUUGCUCGGAAUCACUGGGCGUAAAGCGCACGUAGGCGGCUUUUUAAGUCAGGGGUGAAAUCCUGGAGCUCAACUCCAGAACUGCCUUUGAUACUGAGAGGCUUGAGUCCGGGAGAGGUGAGUGGAACUGCGAGUGUAGAGGUGAAAUUCGUAGAUAUUCGCAAGAACACCAGUGGCGAAGGCGGCUCACUGGCCCGGUACUGACGCUGAGGUGCGAAAGCGUGGGGA